UAAAUACUCCCGAGAGACCGAUAGCGAACCAGUACCGUGAGGGAAAGGUGAAAAGCACUUCGAACAGAAGAGUGAAAUAGUCCCUGAACCCAUACGCCUACAAGCUGUCGGAGCCGCUUCGUGCGGUGACGGCGUGCCUUUUGCAUAAUGAGCCUACGAGUUACUCAUCACCAGCGAGGUUAAGUACUUCAGGUACGUAAGCCGAAGCGAAAGCGAGUCUGAAUAGGGCGUCAAGUUGGUGGUGGUAGACGCGAAACCUUAGUGAUCUACCCAUGGGCAGGGUGAAGGUUUGGUAACACAAACUGGAGGCCCGAACCGGUAAACGUUGAAAAGUUUUCGGAUGACCUGUGGGUAGGGGUGAAAGGCCAAUCAAACUGGGAAAUAGCUCGUACUCUCCGAAAUGCAUUUAGGUGCAGCCUCUGUUGUUUUGUUCUAGAGGUAGAGCUACUGAUUGGAUGCGAGGGCUUCACCGCCUAUCAAAUCCGGCCAAACUCCGAAUGCUAGAACAUGAAGACAGGGAGUGAGCCAGCGGGUGCUAAGGUCCGUUGACGAAAGAGGGAGAACUCAGACCAUCAGCUAAGGUCCCCAAUUAUAUGCUAAGUUGGAAUAAAAACGGGGUGGGACUGCUUAGACAGCUAGGAUGUUGGCUUGGAAGCAGCCAUUCAUUUAAAGAGUGCGUAACAGCUCACUAGUCGAGCGGUCCUGCAUGGAUAAUACGCGGGCAUAAGCAUAUAACCGAAGCUAUGGGAUUGUAGAUGAUACAAUCGGUAGGAGAGCAUUCCAUUCAGCAUAGAAGCAGUACCGUGAGGUAUUGUGGAGCGGAUGGAAAAGCAAAUGUAGGCAUAAGUAACGAUAAUGCGGGUGAGAACCCCGCACGCCGAAAGAUCAAGGAUUCCCCGGCAAUGUCAAUCAUCCGGGGGUAAGUCGGAUCCUAAGGGUAAGCCGAGUGGCGAUCCCGAUGGUAAACAGGUUAAUAUUCCUGUACUGAUCAUAACUGCGAUGCAGCGACGCAGAGGUGACACUGCUGCGUACUGACGGAAUAGUACGUUGAAACCCGUAUUCUUUGAUACCGGUAGUGAAGCACGCCGGUAGAGAUGAAAGGUGAUAGUACCGCAAUGCUUCGGUUGCGCGGAUAAUGCAGGUAAGCUGACUGCCAAGAAAACCUGCUAAGCUUCAGGUAAUGAUCAUCCGUACUGUAAACGGACACACGUGAUCAGGUAGAAAAUACUAAGGCGCUCGAGAGAUUCAUGGUUAAGGAACUAGGCAAAAUGGUCCUGUAACUUCGGGAUAAAGGACGCUCUUGUGAAAGAGCCGCAGAUAAUAGGCCCAGGCGACUGUUUACCAAAAACACAUGGCUAUGCUAAUUCGCAAGAAGAUGUAUAUGGCCUGACACCUGCCCGGUGCCGGAAGGUUAAGAGGAGAGCUCAGAGGUAACUCGAAGGUUUGAAUUGAAGCCCCGGUAAACGGCGGCCGUAACUAUAACGGUCCUAAGGUAGCGAAAUUCCUUGUCGGGUAAGUUCCGACC
RNAcentral lists this ribosomal RNA (1525 nucleotides) under human gut metagenome. Its description in RNAcentral is "bacterial LSU rRNA". It matches the Rfam family "Bacterial large subunit ribosomal RNA", at positions 467 to 1988 of the family's 2925-position model. The record is from RNAcentral.